GAUGAACGCUGGCGGCGUGCUUAACACAUGCAAGUCGAACGGAAAGGCUCCUGCUUGCAGGGGUACUCGAGUGGCGAACGGGUGAGUAACACGUGGGUGAUCUGCCCUGCACUUCGGGAUAAGCUUGGGAAACUGGGUCUAAUACCGGAUAGGACCGCAUGUUGGAUGGUGGGGUGGAAAGUUUUUUCGGUGUGGGAUGAGCUCGCGGCCUAUCAGCUUGUUGGUGGGGUAAUGGCCUACCAAGGCGUCGACGGGUAGCCGGCCUGAGAGGGUGUCCGGCCACAUUGGGACUGAGAUACGGCCCAGACUCCUACGGGAGGCAGCAGUGGGGAAUAUUGCACAAUGGGCGCAAGCCUGAUGCAGCGACGCCGCGUGGGGGAUGACGGCCUUCGGGUUGUAAACUCCUUUCGCUAGGGACGAAGAGUAAUUGACGGUACCUGGAGAAGAAGCACCGGCUAACUACGUG
RNAcentral lists this ribosomal RNA (466 nucleotides) under uncultured bacterium. RNAcentral describes it as "partial 16S ribosomal RNA". It matches the Rfam family "Bacterial small subunit ribosomal RNA", at positions 28 to 507 of the family's 1533-position model. The record is from RNAcentral.